This 505-nucleotide ribosomal RNA is filed under the name uncultured Bacillota bacterium. Its description in RNAcentral is "bacterial SSU rRNA". It matches the Rfam family "Bacterial small subunit ribosomal RNA", at positions 400 to 896 of the family's 1533-position model. The record is from RNAcentral. Lineage: Bacteria; Bacillati; Bacillota.
CGUGAGCGAAGAAGGCCUUCGGGUCGUAAAGCUCUGUUGUUAGGGAAGAACAAGUAUCGGAGUAACUGCCGGUACCUUGACGGUACCUAACCAGAAAGCCACGGCUAACUACGUGCCAGCAGCCGCGGUAAUACGUAGGUGGCAAGCGUUGUCCGGAAUUAUUGGGCGUAAAGCGCGCGCAGGCGGUCCUUUAAGUCUGAUGUGAAAGCCCACGGCUCAACCGUGGAGGGUCAUUGGAAACUGGGGGACUUGAGUGUAGAAGAGGAGAGUGGAAUUCCACGUGUAGCGGUGAAAUGCGUAGAGAUGUGGAGGAACACCAGUGGCGAAGGCGACUCUCUGGUCUGUAACUGACGCUGAGGCGCUAAAGCGUGGGGAGCAAACAGGAUUAGAUACCCUGGUAGUCCACGCCGUAAACGAUGAGUGCUAAGUGUUAGAGGGUUUCCGCCCUUUAGUGCUGCAGCUAACGCAUUAAGCACUCCGCCUGGGGAGUACGGCCGCAAGGCUG